Molecule: transfer RNA, 73 nt
Filed under: Camelus ferus (Wild Bactrian camel)
Lineage: Eukaryota; Metazoa; Chordata; Mammalia; Artiodactyla; Camelidae
Rfam family: tRNA
About the family: Transfer RNA (tRNA) molecules are approximately 80 nucleotides in length.
Source: Rfam by way of RNAcentral
GAGGGUAUAGCUUAAGUAGUAGAGCACAUGCCUACCAAGCAUGAUGUCCUGGAUUCAGUCCCCAGUACCUCCU